Molecule: ribosomal RNA, 97 nt
Filed under: Bacillus cereus
Lineage: Bacteria; Bacillati; Bacillota; Bacilli; Caryophanales; Bacillaceae
Also listed under: 1 other name
Source: RNAcentral
GGUAAUGAUGGCAGAGAGGUCACACCCGUUCCCAUACCGAACACGGAAGUUAAGCUCUCUAGCGCCGAUGGUAGUUGGGACCUUGUCCCUGUGAGAG